CGGUUGUGAAUUGUGUCAAUUCU
This 23-nucleotide microRNA is filed under the name Drosophila mojavensis. RNAcentral's name for it is "Dmo-Mir-92-P8_5p* (star (passenger))". The record is from RNAcentral. Lineage: Eukaryota; Metazoa; Arthropoda; Insecta; Diptera; Drosophilidae.